UUCCUACGGGGGGCUGCAGUGGGGAAUAUUGGACAAUGGGCGAAAGCCUGAUCCAGCCAUGCCGCGUGUGUGAAGAAGGCCUUUUGGUUGUAAAGCACUUUAAGCGAGGAGGAGGAGCUUCAGGUUAAUACCCUGGAUGCUUGGACGUUACUCGCAGAAUAAGCACCGGCUAACUCUGUGCCAGCAGCCGCGGUAAUACAGAGGGUGCAAGCGUUAAUCGGAUUUACUGGGCGUAAAGCGUGCGUAGGCGGCUAAUUAAGUCAAAUGUGAAAUCCCCGAGCUUAACUUGGGAAUUGCAUUCGAUACUGGUUAGCUAGAGUAUGGGAGAGGAUGGUAGAAUUCCAGGUGUAGCGGUGAAAUGCGUAGAGAUCUGGAGGAAUACCGAUGGCGAAGGCAGCCAUCUGGCCUAAUACUGACGCUGAGGUACGAAAGCAUGGGGAGCAAACAGGAUUAGAUACCCUGGUAGUCC
RNAcentral lists this ribosomal RNA (469 nucleotides) under uncultured bacterium. RNAcentral's name for it is "bacterial SSU rRNA". It matches the Rfam family "Bacterial small subunit ribosomal RNA", at positions 336 to 796 of the family's 1533-position model. The record is from RNAcentral.